RNAcentral lists this unclassified non-coding RNA (2389 nucleotides) under Leishmania donovani. Its description in RNAcentral is "gene:unknown". The record is from RNAcentral. Lineage: Eukaryota; Euglenozoa; Kinetoplastea; Trypanosomatida; Trypanosomatidae.
CGGUGCAAGGUGUGGCCUUCACGCUUAUUGCCCAUCGCUUUCACAUUGACGUGUGCCUCUGCUGCUGCUGUAGUGUCCGCAUCUCUCAUCUUUUUUUUGCGUUGCUUGUAAGGCACUUAUAUCCGCCUUUGAAGUGCGCCUACGUUUUGCAUGUGUGUGUGUAUGCAUUGUGUGUUUUGGUGCUCUUCGCUAAUAAUAAGUCUCAUCCCCUUCAUGCGCGACGUGCGUCUGAACACGCGUUCACGCACGUGCGUUUUGGCGUGCUCAGACUUCUGUCUCCGUUUUUCGCUGUUCGCUUUACAGUAUAUUGCACAUAUAUAUAUGUGCUAUUUAUAAUAAUAAUAUAUAUACACCUAUAUGUAUUUAUUUAUAUAUAUAUAUUUUUUUUGGUUUUGCUGAUCGUUUUAUCGUCGGAGCGAAACGCUGUGCAUCAACGAGCAGCGUCUGACAUCUACCGCGAUAGGACACAGGUGAGAGAAGCGAGAAAGAAUAUUCCCACAAGAGCCUCACCGGGUUCUACGAAGUUGUGCUUUCAAGUAGGAUGAACGCGGCGACUGUGAUGAUGGCGCGCGGCCCGGUCACCCCACACCGCCGCCUUAGUAGAUGCACCAGCGCGCUCUGUUGUGCCAUCGCGAUCGCACUGUUUUGUGCUCUUUGUUGCGAAGUCAGCGCGCUGGAGGUGGGCAAGUUUUUUCCCGCCAAGACGCGCAUGAGCGCGAAGGAUCGUUACGAAUCUGUUCUGGCGCUGCAGUCUCUGCAGCGCGCGAUCGACGACCCUGAGCUGCAAAAGGAGGUAGAGUCCGCGCUCAAGGACACAACGAGGGGCUUCGACAUGUGCCGAUCGGCGCUGUACCGCUGCAACCGCGUGACCGGCGCUCUCGAGGAGGCGGUCAUCGAGGGCAUGCGAGACGGAACUGUGAAGUGGGACGAGUAUCCCAAGUCGGUGAAGCGGAUCCGCAUCACGGACUCGAGGCUGAGGCAGCCACUCGUGCUCUCCAGCUUACCUGCGAACCUUGAGGAAUUCGUGGCAACGAACGUGGAGUGGGAGUCCGACUCGAUUCUUCAGGCCCCAGGGAGUGGCGAGGGGGGAGUUGUGAAGGGGCCCUUGGCUCAUCUUCGCGUUUUGCAAUGUGACAACUGCGCUCUCGUGAAGGCAGAGGUGACGACGACGACACCCCAGCUGGAGUGGCUGCAGGUGUUGAGCCUUUCCGGCAAUCCAGACUUGUUCAUCGAUCUCCGCGAGCUGCCGCGCAACCUCCAAUCUCUGCAGCUCUCGUACACACAGCUGGCUCACUCCACGGUCAGGGAGGUAUUGGAGACUGCGCCGGCGUUUCUCUCGCUGCUGAAUAUCAGCUUCACCGGUGUUGCUCUGACCCUCGACAUGCUGCCGUCUGCACGGAAUCAGCUGAAGGCGUUGGAUGUGUCCGGCCUGGAAAGCAACAACCCGGGGUCACCUCUGUCUCUCUCUCAGCUGCAAAGCGCGUGUGGCGAAAGUGGCUUCAGCCUCGCAGAACUGUACCUCACCAGGUGCAGCCUGACGGGCACCCUCCCUCACCUUCGUAACUGCACGAAGCUGAAGGUGAUGGAUGUGUCGCACAACCUCCUCGAUGGCGCCGUGUUCGCUCAACUCCCCGAGAACAUAGAGUUGCUGCGUCUCAACAACAAUGCGAUACAGGGUGGCCUGCGCACCAGCGAACUCCCGCGCACUCUGCGCUCCCUUGAUCUUUCUGAAAACCAUUUCACGGGUGAGGUCGACCUCUCGGCACUGCCGCCGCAGCUGCAGUACCUCAACAUUGGCCACAAUCACUUCAGCGGCCAGGUGAACCUCACGCAGCUACCCGAGUCUGUCAAGUUUGUGCACAUGGAGUAUAACAACUUCACCGGCGCGGCUGACCUCGUCGACCUCCCACUCGGCAUCCGUUUUAUCAUGGUCCACCACAACAACUGGGACUACCUCAUGCCCGCCCCGUGAGAUGGGCCAGCACCAUUUAAGGCGAAAAAGCCGGCGGAAGGGUGCGGCGUUCUUAUUGUGGUGCUCGUGGUGGCAGCCUCAGCUCUCCGUCUUGCUCACCCUCUGCAUCUGAGCCGUUCACCUCCGUCUUCGUCUCUCUCUUUCUCCCCAUGCCAGUGCGCACGUACGUAUCUGCUUUUGGUGGUGAUUAAGCGCGGGGGUGGCGUAGCCAGGCGGUGGCGGCAGGGUUGGGGGGCAUCAAGUCAACAUUGUGCCUGGUUUAUGAGCAGCGAGCACCUUUGGGCUGUAGCACGUGUUGAGGAGAGUAAUAUCCAGCGCAUUCUUGUGUGACUAUCAUUUCGUGCGCCAUGUUACCUUCUCCUGCUCGCCCUUUUUUUUCCUAACACCAUUCGGUUACUUUUUUUCUGCUGCUUUUAG